RNAcentral lists this long non-coding RNA (444 nucleotides) under Mytilus galloprovincialis (Mediterranean mussel). The record is from RNAcentral. Lineage: Eukaryota; Metazoa; Mollusca; Bivalvia; Mytilida; Mytilidae.
AAAAAGAAUGGAAAGAUGUAUACUAGUCUGAUAGAUAAUACGAGGACCUCUGGUUUUUCAAAACUGUUGGAUCAACAAGUUAUUAUAAACAGAUAAAUUGAAAUGGUUUGCUUGUCGAUUAACUUGAAGAAACCGGGUUUUAAACAAGAAAGUUGUGUGUCUUUUUGAUGGAUUAUUUACAUACCCGCUAUUUUGUACUUGGAAAGCGCACCGAAAGGUAAAUAUUAUCAUGCAAAUAUUUAAGAAGAUGCUAGUGGUAUACUUUUCACGAAAAAACAUUUGAAUUUAUAAAUUUCAUCGCAUGCAAACCCGAAAAUCAGUCUGACAAAGAUCAGAAGAUUGGCAAGAACGGACGCAAGUCAACUCGACCCACUGCCAAAACGGCCUACUUUUUUAAACAACACGUCUCCCUUUCUAAAAAUGUCCCACUCUUGUUAAGGGAGC